GACGUAGGGUGCAAGCGUUGUCCGGAAUUAUUGGGCGUAAAGAGUUCGUAGGCGGUUACUUAAGUCUGGUGUUAAAUACGGGAGCUCAACUCCCGCAUGGCAUUGGAAACUGGGUAGCUAGAGUACGGUAGAGGUCUCGGGAAUUCCAGGUGUAGCGGUGAAAUGCGUAGAUAUCUGGAGGAACACCGGUGGCGAAGGCGGCAUCCUGGACCGGUAUUGACGCUGAUGCGCGAAAGCCAGGGGAGCAAAGCGGG
RNAcentral lists this ribosomal RNA (254 nucleotides) under uncultured bacterium. RNAcentral describes it as "partial 16S ribosomal RNA". It matches the Rfam family "Bacterial small subunit ribosomal RNA", at positions 524 to 777 of the family's 1533-position model. The record is from RNAcentral.